UGUGUCUUGUGUCACUUGUCUUUUGUGUAUUGUGUGUUGCCUGGAUAUCUCAUGUCUCUUAUCUUAGCCCUGUGAGGGGCCUCUCAGAAACUUUUCCUAGCAUCCGUGAUCUCAGCGUUCCUUGCCCUGGCACCCAUGCCAUAGAUCUUUUGACUGGGGAGCUCACACAGGCAUCAGAAAUGCAUCUCUCUUUAGAAGCAUCCAGUCAAAUGUCUUGUCAUGUCUUGUUCUGAGCUGUACGGACAGCCAUGCUGCGCAAUGAUCCAUUAUAGCAGACUAGGACUUGUAAGGAUGUGAGGUUAGGGAGAGGAUUCUGACUGUAGGAUUCUCGGGCAUCCAUCUUUGCAGUUUUUGGAAUAAAUCAUUCUGUUUGCAUCUUCUUCCUCCAGGGUUCUCUGAGCCUCAUCAGCUCGCCAUCAGCUUCAACUCUUCUUCUUUUGCAUUCUCUCAGUCCUUGCAGCCAUUUUCCUUGCUAAGAGAUUUCCGUUCCUGUUGUGUCCCCAGUGUUUGUCACGUCUUGUCUGUCCUGUGUCACGGGUGUCUGCACACAUUUGUGCUGGAGCUGCUGUUCUGCUGUUCUGCCCUGCUGCAUAUCCUGGUGCAAUAUGAGAAGUCUCAGGGACUUGGAAUUUGUAAUGUGUAGUUGGAUUCUAGAUGGGAUUUGUAGAUGGACACAGGAUACGUGGAGCCAAUAAGUUAUCCUGCAGCCCUUUGACUUUCAUCCUAACUUUCUUUUAGUUGCAGAAGGAUAAAUCCAGGGCAGAGCCCCCCAUUCUGGGUGAGGGGAUUCCCCUGUGAAGGUCAGUCACUGUUUGUCUCUGCAGAGGAAGCAUAAAUUGUGGCUGCUGCAGCUCUGCUCUUUGUCUUUAUUUUUAGGAAGUCAAGGCAGAGAGCAGCUGUCAAGGCUGAGUGGGCAAGAUGGACUGCUUGCCAUCUAUCCUAGCCCAGCAUGCCCAUGCCAGGUGCUGUUGCUGCCCUAGGCAUGCCGGGGAAGAGAGGAGGGCAGGU
Melospiza melodia melodia is the source of this 1008-nucleotide long non-coding RNA. RefSeq lists it as uncharacterized. The record is from RefSeq and is a predicted model, not a curated record. The transcript has 3 exons. Lineage: Eukaryota; Metazoa; Chordata; Aves; Passeriformes; Passerellidae.